UGGGGAUAUUGGUCAAUGGAGGAAACUCUGAACCAGCGACGCCGCGUGAGGGAAGAAGGUCUUCGGAUUGUAAACCUUUGUUGACAGGGACGAUACAAGACGGUACCUGUCGAGGAAGCCACGGCUAACUACGUGCCAGCAGCCGCGGUAAUACGUAGGUGGCAAGCGUUAUCCGGAUUUACUGGGUGUAAAGGGAGCGUAGACGGCAAAGCAAGUCUGAAGUGAAAGCCCCGGGCUCAACCCGGGAACUGCUUUGGAAACUGUUUAGCUAGAGUGACAGGAGAGGUAAGUGGAAUUCCUAGUGUAGCGGUGAAAUGCGUAGAUAUUAGGAGGAACACCAGUGGCGAAGGCGGCUUACUGGACUGUAACUGACGUUGAGGCUCGAAAGC
RNAcentral lists this ribosomal RNA (389 nucleotides) under uncultured Clostridium sp. RNAcentral describes it as "bacterial SSU rRNA". It matches the Rfam family "Bacterial small subunit ribosomal RNA", at positions 356 to 760 of the family's 1533-position model. Lineage: Bacteria; Bacillati; Bacillota; Clostridia; Eubacteriales; Clostridiaceae. The record is from RNAcentral.